RNAcentral lists this ribosomal RNA (253 nucleotides) under uncultured bacterium. Its description in RNAcentral is "partial 16S ribosomal RNA". It matches the Rfam family "Bacterial small subunit ribosomal RNA", at positions 524 to 776 of the family's 1533-position model. The record is from RNAcentral.
UACGUAGGGUGCAAGCGUUAUCCGGAAUUAUUGGGCGUAAAGAGCUCGUAGGCGGUUUGUCGCGUCUGCUGUGAAAACUGGAGGCUCAACCUCCAGCCUGCAGUGGGUACGGGCAGACUAGAGUGCGGUAGGGGAGAUUGGAAUUCCUGGUGUAGCGGUGGAAUGCGCAGAUAUCGGGAGGAACACCAAUGGCGAAGGCAGAUCUCUGGGCCGUAACUGACGCUGAGGAGCGAAAGCAUGGGGAGCGAACAGG